RNAcentral lists this ribosomal RNA (468 nucleotides) under uncultured bacterium. RNAcentral describes it as "partial 16S ribosomal RNA". It matches the Rfam family "Bacterial small subunit ribosomal RNA", at positions 28 to 507 of the family's 1533-position model. The record is from RNAcentral.
GACGAACGCUGGCGGCGUGCUUAACACAUGCAAGUCGAACGGAAAGGCCCUGCUUUUGUGGGGUGCUCGAGUGGCGAACGGGUGAGUAACACGUGAGUAACCUGCCCUUGACUUUGGGAUAACUUCAGGAAACUGGGGCUAAUAUCGGAUAGGAGCUCCUGCUGCAUGGUGGGGGUUGGAAAGUGUCGGCGGUUGGGGAUGGACUCGCGGCUUAUCAGCUUGUUGGUGGGGUAGUGGCUUACCAAGGCUUUGACGGGUAGCCGGCCUGAGAGGUUGACCGGCCACAUUGGGCCUGAGAUACGGACCAGACUCCUACGGGAGGCAGCAGUGGGGAAUAUUGCACAAUGGGCGGAAGCCUGAUGCAGCAACGCCGCGUGCGGGAUGACGGCCUUCGGGUUGUAAACCGCUUUCGCCUGUGACGAAGCGUGAGUGACGGUAAUGGGUAAAGAAGCACCGGCUAACUACGUG